GAUGAACGCUAGCGAUAGGCCUAACACAUGCAAGUCGAGGGGCAUCACAUGAAGUAGCAAUACGGAUGGUGGCGACCGGCGCACGGGUGAGUAACACGUAUGCAACCUGCCUUCAACAAGGGGAUAACCCGUUGAAAGACGGACUAAUACCCUAUAACACAGGGGUCCCGCAUGGGAAUAUUUGUUAAAGGACAACCGGUUGAAGAUGGGCAUGCGUUCCAUUAGCUAGUUGGCGGGUAACGGCCCACCAAGGCAACGAUGGAUAGGGGAACUGAGAGGUUUAUCCCCCACACUGGUACUGAGACACGGACCAGACUCCUACGGGAGGCAGCAGUGAGGAAUAUUGGUCAAUGGACGCAAGUCUGAACCAGCCACGUCGCGUGAAGGAAGACGGCCCUACGGGUUGUAAACUCUUUUAACGGGAAUAAAGUGCCCCACGCGUGGGGUUUUGCAUGUACCGUAUGAAUAAGGAUCGGCUAACUCCGUG
This 487-nucleotide ribosomal RNA is filed under the name uncultured bacterium. RNAcentral describes it as "bacterial SSU rRNA". It matches the Rfam family "Bacterial small subunit ribosomal RNA", at positions 28 to 507 of the family's 1533-position model. The record is from RNAcentral.